This 723-nucleotide long non-coding RNA is filed under the name Homo sapiens (human). RNAcentral describes it as "non-protein coding lnc-SPAM1-2:3". The record is from RNAcentral. Lineage: Eukaryota; Metazoa; Chordata; Mammalia; Primates; Hominidae.
UAUUCUUGCAAGAGAACAGAGCUCCUGAUCACCUGUGUGCGUCCUUUGAGUGGAUGGCAGCUGCAUCUCUGCAUUACAGCUAGUUAGAAUGAUGAGUCCUUGCUAUGCCUCAAGCACUGUUUCGAGUGUUUGAUGUCUAUUAUCUCACUUCAUCCUCACCAGGACCCCAUCCGAGCCUUAAUUUCAGUUGACAGUAACUAUUGGAUCCCCAGGAAUAUGUUUGCAUAUUUGGGGAGAAAAUACUAUUGGAGGGGAACAGAAAUGCUACUAAGGGUCUCACUGUGUCACCCAGGCUGGAGUCCAUCAAAGCUCACUGCAGCCUUAACCUUCUGUGCUCAAGGGAUCCUCCCACUUAAGCCUCCUGAGUAGCUGGAACUACAGGCAUAUGCCACCGAGCCUGGCUAAUCUUUGAUUUUUUUGUACAGAUUGUGUCUCCUUAUGUUGCUCAGGCUGGACUCAAACUUCUGGUCUCAAGCGAUCUUUCCAUCUUAGCUUCCCAAAUUGUUGGAAUUAUGGACAUGAGCCAGUGUGCUUGGCCUGAUUUUUUUUUUUUUUUAAUGAGAAAAACGUUCCUUAAGAAAAGUUUCAUUGUAAGACGAGGACUUGCUAUGUUGCCAGUUUGGUCUUGAACUCUUGGUCUCAAGUGAUUCUCCUGCCUUGGGUUCCCAAAGCGUUGGGACGGCAGAUGUCAGCCACCGCGCCUGGCCUUAUUCUUAUAAACUC